GGCAAACUGGCCUCUUCAUAGCUGACCCCUGACUGACUGGCUCCUGGCACACUGAUCUCUGGGGAGCCAUACAUCCGGAACCCCUUCUCGGAUCGAUUAGAGCAUCCAAAUGCUGCACAUCCAACCAUGGGCCCAGGAAACAGAUGAAGAGGAUGUCCCUUUCACAAAGGAACCUUUUUGUUUUUUUCAA
Molecule: long non-coding RNA, 190 nt
Organism: Gymnodraco acuticeps
Lineage: Eukaryota; Metazoa; Chordata; Actinopteri; Perciformes; Bathydraconidae
Exons: 3
Source: RefSeq, a predicted model, not a curated record